Tyto alba (common barn owl) is the source of this 1042-nucleotide long non-coding RNA. RefSeq lists it as uncharacterized. The transcript has 2 exons. NCBI's taxonomy places the organism in Eukaryota, Metazoa, Chordata, Aves, Strigiformes, Tytonidae. The record is from RefSeq and is a predicted model, not a curated record.
UGUGUGCUAUUUUAGCCUGAAGGCCAUGUGAGUGUGUCAUGGAUCAAAGAGUGUCAGUCAUGCUUCAUUCUGGUGACAAGAAUGAUGCUGUUUCAUUUUCAUGUCAGUCUAGACAUGACUCAUAUAUUCUUGUUAGAAUUCUGAUUUUAUAGAAGUCUUAAGAGAUAUUCUACACAUUUACGUAGUCAGCAAGCAGGAAAAAUAGAAGAGCAAAGCCACUGCUCUCAGUAGAGCCUGUAAUUUGAAGUUUUGUAAAAACACACAUUUAUUUUUUAAAUUCAGUUGUAUCCAAGAACAUGCUCGUGAAAUGAAGUGUAAACUGAAACUUUCUCACUGCAGAUGAAAUACUACCUGCAGAAGCAGCUGCAGCCCCGUGGAAGCCAGGAGGGAAUCCGGUUGCCUCAGGUGGAGCCUGGCAGCUGGACACCUGAGGGUUGCUUCACUCUACUUCUAGCCUGGGACUUUGUUUUGCAUAAUCUUUUUUCAAACCAGUCUUUUAUCUGUGAAUGCCCUCUGCCUCUGUUCAGCUGUUAAUGGCAUAUUGUCUUGGCCUGAGAAAAUGAGGGACUGAAUCAGUGCUGUAGCUUUCAGCUGUUUCCAUCCCUUUGGAGGAAGGGGGAAGUUGUCACUGAAGUCCCAAAGAGGUUGAUGUCUUUGCAGAGACACUUCUGGUCUUGGUCUUGAAUUGCCAGAGAUGGCCUGCAUGGCUGUUUGCUGAAGUCUUCAUCUAGAAAUGACUACUCUCUGAUCCUGAGGCAGCGGAGAUGGCCCAAGCCACCAGACAAAAGCAGUUCCCGAGGGAUGCACUCUCCCAGGACUGAGACGCUAUACAGAAAACUUUAGGCACUGAAACAGUCAGAAGAAGAAAACAUGAUAUGAUUUAACUUCAGUCAUAACUCAGACAACCACAACGUAACAGAAAAACAAAACCAAGAAGAAAUGCCGACAGCUACUGAUAAAAUUCAAGUGUAGUUGCCAGGGUAAAAAAAAAGAUGUAAUAAGUCCAAAUGUUUAGAAUAAUAAAGGAUUAAAUUAAGCAAAA